Molecule: long non-coding RNA, 315 nt
Organism: Dicentrarchus labrax (European seabass)
Lineage: Eukaryota; Metazoa; Chordata; Actinopteri; Moronidae
Exons: 3
Source: RefSeq, a predicted model, not a curated record
AAAAUAGUUGUUCGGGGCUCAGUUGGCCACAGUUAUACUACGCCCACUACUUGUCAAGUGUUUCCUGUGAUAGCAGGUGAUGCAUGACAACCGAGCAGAGAGUAAUGUGUAUUAUCAGAACAGGGCUUUCUACAUCAGGAAACUGAGUUGGUGUAAUGGGGAUGAAGAAGAUGAAGAAGAGCGAAAAAUGGAAAGAGCAUGAUGAGGAACAACUGUAACAAUUGCUGUGUUGAAGCAGGGGUCUGUCAACACAACUAUGAACAAAGGCUGACACAAUAAUCACCGGCAUGUGACCUUGUAGAUUUAAAACUAGAU